CCGCCGCGCCGGCCGCUGGAGCGAGCGCCACCCGGGCCACCUGGCUGCGGCGAAGCGGCGAGACUCGGUGGCCACCGCGGGACUCCGAGGAGCUGCGGCCGCUGAGCGCAUCGGAGGGCGGGCGCGCCGAGGCGCCGGGUGGGAGCGGAGGUGCGGAUAGGGACUCUUUACCGGAAGUCGGAGGGGUCAGACGGAAGCAGAACCAUCUUCACUUCUGCGGGGACCUAGUUUGCCCCCACCUGAUGCAACCCAGAAAAUGGACUGACUGCGAGUGCCUUGGGGCGGAGAAUGUGUCUUGCUACGUGUAAAGCACCUAGAACCCUGCCAGAUUCAGGGGACACAGCAUCCUGCCGUUUUCCUGCCGUCCCCCGCCCGCCACACAGUAGGCGCUCCAGUGGCUCGGGGCAUCUACCAGGCAGGCCGCGCUGUCCUGCCCUGCCGGGGCUGGAGUGGAGCAACCCUCCGGGGCCACCCACAUCUGGGUACCUUUUCCCCACUUUUUCCACCCCAGCCGCGCACAGUCACCAGAAAACUCUUUUAGAAAUACAAACACUUGGCCUGGCGCGGUGGCUCACACCUGUAAUCCCAGCACUCUGGGAGGCCGAGGCGGAUGGAUCACCUGAGGUCAGGAGUUCAAGACCAGCGUGGCCAACAUGGUGAAACCCCAUCGCUACUAAAAAUACGAAAAAAUUAGCUGGGCGUGGUGGUGGGCAUCUGUGAUCUCAGCUACGCAGGAUGCUGAGGCAGGAGAAUCGCUUGAACCCAGGAGGCGGAGGUUACAGUGACCAAAGAGGGCACCACUGCACUCCAGCCUGGGCAACAAGAGCGAAACUUUAUCUAAAAAAAAUAAAAAUAAAAAAAUACAAUCACUUUUCUCUGAUUGGAAUCAAGGUCCCAGAAUACAAUCUUAAGAACAAGUUUUGGCCAGUGUGGUGGCUCACGCCUGUAAUCCCAGCACUUUGGGAGGCAGUGGCCGGUGGAUCACCUGAGGUCAGGAGUUCGAGACCAGCCUGGCCAAUUUUUAGUAGAGCCCAUCUCUACUAAAAAUACAAAAAUUAGCUGGGUGUGGUGAUGCGCACCUGUAGUCCCAGCUACUUGGGAGGCUGAGGCAGGAGAAUGGUGUGAACCUGGGAGGCGGUGCUUGCAGUGAGCGGAGAUCACACCACUGCACUCCAGCCUGGGCGACAGAGCGAGACUCCGUCUCAAAAAAAAAAUAGUAAGUUUCAGGUCGAUGGAAGUUGAAUAAGAAGGCCUAGGCUGGAUACAGUGGCCUACACCUAUAAUCCCAGCACUUUGGAAGGCCAAGGCAGGCAGAUCCUUUGAACCAAGGAGUAGGAGACCAGCCUGGGCAACAUAGUGAGACCCUCCUCUCCAUAAAAAAUUUUUCAAAAUUAAAAAAAAAGAAGGCCUGAAGCUGACAUAGCUGAGAAAGUUUGUUUUAACUCACUACCAUUGAAUAAAAACUUAAUAGUUUUAUCAAGAUAUAAUUUACAUACUAUGAAAUUCACCUAUUUUGUGUACAAUUUAAUGAUUCUCAGUAAAUUUACACAGUAAAUUUGCACAACCAUUGCCACUAAUUUCAGAACAUUUCCAUUACCCCAAAAAGAUCCUUCACGAUGGUGGGCAGUUUGGUUCCCAUCCUUAGCCCCAGGCAACCACUCAUCUACAUUUUCUCUCUAUGGAUUUGUCCAGAUUUUUCACAUAAGUAGAAUCUUACAGCAUGCAGCCUUUUGUGUCUGCCUUCUUUCAUUUGUCAUAAUGUUUUUGAGGUUUAUCUAAGGUUGUGGCAUGUAGCAGUAUUUCAUUCCUUAUUAUUGCUAUGUCAUAUUCCAUGUAUGGACAUACCACAUUUUGUGUCUACUUUCCAAUUGUGGAUGUUUAGAUUGUGUCAACUUUUUGAGUAUUAUGAAAAUGCUGCUGGGGCUGAGAUUGGUGGCUCACUCCUGUAAUCCCAACACUUUAGGAUACCGAGAUGGGAGGAUCACUUGAAUACCCCGGAGUUUGAAACCAGCCUGGGCAACAUAGAGAGACCCUGUCUCUAUGAAAAACUUUAAAAAUAAAAAAUUAGCUGGUUGGCUGGGCGUGGUGGCUCAUGCCUAUAAUCCCAGCACUUUGGGAGGCCGAGGUGGGUGGAUCACCUGAGAUCAGGAGUUCGAGACCAGCCUGGCCUACAUGGUGAAAUCCCGUCUCUACUAAAAAUACAAAAAAUUAGCCAGGCGUGGUGGCGGGCACCUGUAAUCUCAGCUACUUGGGAGGCUGAGGCAGGAGAAUUGCUUGAACCCAGGAGGCGGAGGUUACAGUGAGCCGAGAUUGCACCAUUGCACUGAAGCCUGGGUGACACAGCAAUACUCUGUCUCCAAAAAAAAAAAAAAAAAAAAAUUAGCUGGUCAUGGUGACACGCACCUAUAGUCCCAGCUACUAGGGAGGCUGAAGCAGAAGGACCGCUUGAGCCCAGGAGAUCGAGGUUGCUGUGAGCUACGAAUGCGCCACUGCACUCUAGCCUGGGCAACAGACCAAGACCCUGUCUCGUUCAGUUAAUAGAGUUGCUAAAACACACACACACACACACAAAGAAGAAGAAAGAAAAAUAAUAAUGCUGCUAUGAACAUUUGUGAACAUAUAUCUUCAUGUGGAUAUAUGUUUUCAUUUAUCUUGGGUUGGUUCCUACAAACGAAAUUGUUGGGUGAUGUGGUAAGUUUAUUUAGUUAUUUUUAUUUUAUUUAUUUAUUUAUGGAAACUACCUUUUCUCUGGACUUCAGAAGGCUUAAGCUUUAUAUGAAAAUAUCAGAGUAGGCUGGGCACGGUGGCUCAUGCCUGUAAUCCCAGCACUUUGGGAGACUGAGGUGGGCUGAUCACCUGAGGUCAAGAGAUCGAGACCAUCCUUGCCAACAUGGUGAAACCCUGUCUCUAUUAAAAAUACAAAAAUUAGCCAGGCAUGGUGGCUCACACCUGUAAUCCCAGCACUUUGGGAGGCCAAGGCGGGCAGAUCACGAGGUCAGGAGAUCAAGGCCAUCCUGGCUAACACAGUGAAACCCCGUCUCUACUAAAAAUACAAAAAAAUAGGUGGGUGUGGUGGCGGGCGCCUGUAGUCCCAGCUACUUGGGAGGCUGAGGCAGGAGAAUGGCAUGAACUCGGGAGGCGGAGCUUGCAGUGAGGUGAGAUGGCGCCACUGCACUCCAGCCUGGGCAACAGAGCGAGACUCUGUCUCAAAAAAAAGAAAAUACAAAAAUUAGCUGGGCAUGGUGGUGUGCGCCUGUAGUCCUAACUACUCGGGAGGCUGAGGCAGGAGAAUCGCUUGAACCUGGCAGGCAGAGGUUGCAGUGAGUCAAGAUCAUGCCACUGCACUCCAGCCUGGUGACAGAGUGACACUCCAUCUCAAAAAAAUAAUAUAUAUAUAUAUAUAUAUUAGAGUAAUGCACCUUAAAAGAAGUGGUGUGUCAGGCAGCCUCUAUGGCGGUCCCAAAUGAUUCUUGCCUCCUGGUGUUCAGACACUGUGAAAUCCUCCCCACCUGAAUUUUAAAACAAUACUUUUUUUUUUUUUUUUCGAGACAGGGUCUUACUCUGCCAACCAGGCUGGAGUACAGUUCCACAGUCUGGCUCACUGCAGCGUCUGCCUCCCAGGCGGUCCCGAGCAAUCCUCCCAUCUCAGCCUUCAGAGUAUCAGGGACUACAGGCGUGCACCACCACACCCAGCUAAUUUUUGUUAGUUUUGGGGGAUUUGUUUGUUUGUUUUUAGGCAGAGUCUUGCUGUCUUGCCCAGGCUGGAAUGCAGUGGCACAAUCUCAGUUCACUGUAACCUCCACCUCCUGGGUUCAAGUGAUCCUCCCCGCUCAGCCUUCCAUGUAGCUGGGAUUAUAGGCACUCACCACCAUGUCCAGCUAAUUUUUGUAUUUUUAGUAGAGACGACAUUUUUUCGUGUUGGCCAGAACUCCUCACCUCAAGUGAUCUGCCUGCCUUGGCCUCCCAAAGUGCUGGGAUUACAGGUGUGAGCCACCACACCACCCAACCAACAAGUGAACAUUUUGAAUGCUCUCCUUUCCCCCAAAUGAUUUUCAGACACCCCUUUAAACAAAAGCAGAGAGUCAGAGAGUUGUCUGCAAAGGCAGUGAACAGUACUCUCCUGAAAGAGUUCUGAUAUUGAGAAGUGUUGCUAAAAUUUCAACUUCAAAAAUAGCUAUGGUCAUUUCAGCCACUAUUUCAGAAAUGAAAAAAUAUCUCAAGUGAGAGAGCUUGGAGACAGACCUGCAGACUUGAGAAUCUAGUCCAGUAGAUUCUAUACUUGCUUUCUGAUUUUCAUUGACCCUUCAGCAAGCCACAGGGCCCUUUUAUUAGCCUGUUAAUAAUUUUCUUUUCUUUUCUUUUCUUUUUUGUUUUUUUUGAGACAGAUUCUUGCUCUGUUGCCCAGGCUAGAGUGCAGUGGUGUGAUCUCAGCUCACUGAAACCUCCACCUCCUGAAUUCAAGUGAUUCUUCUGCCUCAGCCUCCCGAGUAGCUGGGAUUACAGGCGCCUGCCACUGUGCAUGGCUAAUUUUUGUAUUUUUAGUAGAGGUGGGGUUUCGCCAUGUUGGCCAGGGUGGUCUCAAACUCCUGACCUCAUGAUCUGCCCGCCCCGGCCUCCCAAAGUGCUGGGAUUACAGGUGUGAGCCACUGCGCCCAGCUUUUUUUUUUUUUUUUUUUUUUUUGGAGACAGAGUCUUGCUCUGUCACCCAGGCUAGAGUGCAGUGGCACAAUCUCAGCUCACUGCAACUUCCGCCUCCUGGGUUCAAGCGAUUCUUCUGCCUCAGCCUCCUAAGUAGCUGGCACUACAGGUGUGCGCCACCACACCUGGCCAAUUUUUUUAUUUCCUUUUUUUUUUUUUUUUUUUUUUUGAGACAGAGUCUCGCUCUGUCACCCAGGCUGGAGUGCAGUGGCGCAAUCUCGGCUCACUGCCAGCUCCGCCUCCUGGGUUCACGCCAUUCUCCUGCCUCAGCCUCCCAAGUAGCUAGGACUGCAGGUGCCUGCCACCAGGCCUGGCUAAUUUUUUGUAUUUUUAGUAGAGACGGGGUUUCACCGUGUUAGCCAGGAUGGUCUCGAUCUCCUGACCUCGUGAUCCGCCCGCCUCGGCCUCCCAAAGUGCUGGGAUUACAGACGUGAGCCACCGCGCCUGGCAAUUUUUUUAUUUCUAAUAGAGACACGGUUUUGCCAUGUUGGCCAGGCUGGUCUCGAACUCCUGACCUCAGGUGAUCCACGCACCUCAGCCUCCCAAAAUGCUGGGAUUACAGGCAUGAGCCACCAUGCCCGGCUGAGCCUGUUAAUUUUCAUCACUUCAAUGAUUAAUCAAGUCUCGGGAUUUGGGGAUGACAAACUGAUGGAGCUAUGUGGAGCAGAACUGUGAAGAGUGAUUUGCUUGCACUCACUACAGAAGCACAUAUCACGUGAUCCAGUAUUCCUGGCAAUUCACAUUUCUGCAAUCAUGCCUUUUCAUUUCUCUUCCCUUGAUCUUGCUUAAUGUAUGAUGGUAUAUUAUUCACUAAAUACUCUUGAUUUCACUUUCAAAAGCAUGAAAAUUAAUUCAAAUCAGAACUAACUUGCAUCCCCCCAAAUUCAUCCUCUUCAAGUUUUUGUAUAGACCAAUCCUCAUUUAAAAAAAAAAAAAAAAGCUGAUGUAAUAUCAAAAAUAGGACCAUGGCUAAUUAAACCAAUGUUUUUUUUUCUAACCACAGUUACUCAGAAUUCGUAGAGGCUCAUCUAUUUGUAGACACUCCAGGAAUCCCAAAAGAGUAAAUGCAAUAAAAAACAUUAUUUUUUAAAAAAUGAAAAGUGUUUGGGGGAGAGGGCUUCCAGGAAGGGAUUAUUUAUAUACCUUGUAUGCAAAGUAACAACUUUCCCAUAGCUUUGAAAAAAGUGGAGGGUGGGGAGCUGCAAAAUUGUAGAGAACACAGCAACAUUAUUUAAAGAACUUUUAAAUGAGCCAUUCCCUCCAAACGAGCACACUCCUGGUUGUUAAGUUGCUCGUUUUGUUUUACCUUGUGGGAUAGAAUAAUGAUGCAGUAACAUUAUUCACAAGGCAAAGCUGGUUGCCAGCUGAAAUAGACACAGAAGAAAGAAUUCUUUAUUUUUCAUUGGAAAUGCUUGGGCUCUGCAGAGCCAGAAAUUUAAAGAAACUCAGCCUUUUGUUUUUCCUCUUUCUCCCUUUUUUGUUUUUAUUCACCCUCUUUUUGGGGGUGAGUUUGGUGGGCAGCCUGUUGUUUCAGGGCCACAGAUUUAUGGAAAGCCAAAGAUCUGAAUUAUGCAUGAUUUGGAGAAUGCAGGAAGGGAUUUAAAAUGGAUGUGUGCAGACCAGUGACAGCUGAACUGGCCAUUAGCAUGGGAUCUUGUUAGUUUGCUACGGGAUAUGGUGAGUCCUACAAUGGAACCCCAGAAGAGUCAGACUAUAAUGAAUACUGACAUUGCUGACCUUCGAUCUCAGAAUAGGGACUUGGAUACUUGUUCCCCAGUAGAAUCACAUAUGGGCUUAACCAUACACACCGUUUUGCUUAAGCCCUCAUAUUAUCAAAAUAUUUAUUUUCCACAAGGUAAGGCAGGGCUAGAGAACAAUAAUGAAAAUAAUAAUUGUAGACCUUUACAUGGCAUUUACUAUGUGCCAACCAUGUUCUAAGUGCUACCUGCACAAUAACUUGCUCAUUGAAUCCUUGUAACAACCUGCUGCUUCUCAAUGCCAAGGACAGUUUUGCCCCAGCUCCAUCGCCCCCUCAGGAGACAUUUGGCAAUGUCUAGACACAUUUCUGUUUGUUACGAUUGGAGGGGAAUGCCCCUGGCAUCUUGUGAGUACAGACCAGGUAUGCUGUUUGUGAUAUUGUUAAAUAUAGGUAUUUGGUGUUUGUUCUGGUUUUCUGGCACGCAACUCCUAAAAUUCUCAAAAUCUCCAAAGUGAUGGACAGCCUCAGUAUGAGGGCUGGACAUAGGAAAGACAAUAAUGACAGGGUUGGGACUCUUCAGCCCCAUCCCCCAGCCUCUGGGGAGGGAAAGGAGGCUGAAGGUUAACUUGAUCACCAGUGGCCAAUGAUUUAAUCAAUCAUGCCAAUAGAAUGAAGCUUCCAUAAAAAUCAAGAAGAGCUGGGUUAUGAGAGCUUUUAUUUAUUAUUAUUAUUUUUUUUUUUGAGAUGGAAUCUUGCUCUGUCACACAGACUGGGUUGCAGUGGCGUGAUCUCAGCCCUGUGCAACCCCUGCCUCCCUGGGUUCAAGCGAUUUUCAUGCCUCAGCCUGCUGAGUACUGGGAUUACAGGCAUGCGCCACCACGCCCGGCUAAUUUUUGUAUUUUUAGUAGAGACGGGAUUUCACCAUGUUGGCGAGGCUGAUCUCGAACCCCUGGCCUCAGGUGAUCAAACCGCCUCGGCCUCCCAAAAUGCUGGGGUUACGGGCAUGAGCCACUGCACCUGGCCUAUUUUUUUUUUUCUUUGAGUCGGAGUCUCGCUGUGUUGCCCAGGCUGGAGUGCAGUGGCGCGAUGUCAGCUCACUGCAAGUUCCGCCUCCCAGGUUCACGCUAUUCUCCUGCCUCAGCUUCCCAACUAGCUGGGACUACAGGCGCCCGCCACCAUGCCUGGCUAAUUUUUUUUUUUUUUUUUUGUAUUUUUAGUAGAGACGGGUUUUCACCGUGUUAGCCAGGAUGGUCUUGAUCUCCUGACCUUGUGAUCCGCCCGCUGAGCUAGAGCAAUCCUUCUGUCUAAGCUGUCCAAAGUGCUGGGAAUACAGGCAUGAGCCACCAUACCCAUCCCUGAGAGCUUCUAGAUAGCUGAAGAGGUGGAGGUUCGUGGAGUGUGACUUGCCCCUUCCCACAUACCUUGCCCUGCACCUCUCUUCCAUCUGGCUGUAUCUUUUGUAAUAACAGAAGUGUUUCCCUCAGUUCUGUGACCCACCCUAGCAAAGUAAUCAAACCUGAGGAGGGGAUCGUGGGAACCCCGAUCUCUUGCUGGGGCCCUGAUUUACAGCCUGUUUUUGUGACUGGCAUCUGAAGUCGGGGGUGUGAUCCGAUGCUAUCUCCAGGUAGAUAGUGCCAGAAUUGAAUUGAAUUAGAGGUGCCCAGAUGCACACUCCAGAAUUGCUUGCUUGAUAUGUGGUAGGGAAAAGCCCCCACACAUCUAGUGUCAAACGCAUUUUUUUUUUUUUUUGAGGCAGAGUCUCCCUCUGUCACCCAAGCUGGAGUGCAGUGGCGCAAUCUCGGCUCACUGCAACCUCCACCUCCUGGGUUCAAGCAGUUCUCCUGCCUCAGCCUCCUGAGUAGCUGGGAUUACAGGCACGCACCACCAUGCCCAGCUAAUUUUUGUAUUUUUUUCGAAGAGACAGAGUUUCACCAUGUUGGCCAGGCUGGUCUUGAACUCCUGGCCUCAGGUGAUCCGUCUGCCUUGGCCUCCCAAAGUGCUGGGAUUACAGGCCUGAGCCACUGCGCCUGGCUGGUGUCAGAAGCCUUUUUUUUUUUUUUUUUUUUUUUUUUUGAGGUGGAGUCUUGCUCUGUUGCGCAGUCUAGGGUACAAUGAUGUGAUCUCGGCUCACUGCAAACUCCGCCUCCUGGGUUCAAGCAAUUCUCCAGCCUCAGCUUCCCGAGUAGCUGGGAUUACAGGCACCCGCCAUCAUGCCCAACUAAUUAUUGUAUUUUUAGUAGAGACGGGGUUUCACCAUGUUGGCCAGGCUGGUCUUGAACUCCUGACCUCAGGUGAUCUACCCACCUCAGCCUCCCAAAGUGCUGGGAUUACAGGCGUGAGCCACCGCCCCAGCCCAGAAGCGUUCUAUGUUGUAUUGUGAGAGUAUAGGAGAAUCCAAAUUUGUUUUUUUCUAUGUCCUUAUACUGUUGAACACCCUAUAAUGCACAGGACAAUCUCCCAGCACAAAGAAUUAAUCCAGCCCAAAAUGACGAUGGUGCUGAGGUUAAGAAACCCUGUAGUAACCCUGAGAAGUAGAUAGGAUUAUUAUUCCCCUUUUACAGAUGGGGAGACUAGGGCAUACAGAGAGUGAGUCACUUUGUCUAAGGGCACAUUUAUUAAAUGGUAAAGGUGCAAUUCGAACCCAGAAAGUCUGUUUCCAACAUCCGGGUUCUAAACUGCUUUCCUAUAUGGAAUAGUAAAGGCCUGGCCGGGUGUGGUGGCUCACGCCUGUAAUCCUAGCACUUUGGGAGUCCGAGGCGGGAGGAUUGCCUGAACUGAGGAGUUCGAGACCAGCCUGGGCAACAUGGUGAAACCCUAUCUCUACUAAAAUACAAAAAAAAAAAUUAAAUAGCUGGGCAUGGCGUUGUGCGCCUAUAGUCCCAGCUACUUGGGAGGCUAAGGCAGGAGAACUGCUUGAACCCAGGAGGUGGAGGUUGCAGUGAGCCAAGAUCGUGCCACUGUGCUCCAGCCUGGCGACAGAGCAAGACUCCAUCUCAAAAAAAAAAAAAAAAAAAAAAAAAGUAAAGGCCUAAGGUGGCUCUCUUGAAAAAAAUCAGCUUCUCUCCUUUGUCUCAUCAAAUACAGGGCUCUAGUGAACUGGCACCACUGAUGACUGCCUGUUUCUUUAUUCAAGGAAUAGUGAUUAUUAUAGAAGUCACCACCUGCAAGGGACAAAUUGGCAAUGCCUUAAAAACUGACAGUGCACGCAUGUUGGUUCCUAUAGGAAAAAAAUUAAUUAAAAACAAAAACAAAAACAAAAAAACCAGGCACAGUGGCUCAUGCCUGCAAUCCAAGCACUUUGGGAAGCCGAGGCGUGUGGAUCACCUGAGGUCAGGAGUUUGAGGCCAGCCCGGCCGACAUGGUGAAACCCCGUCUCUACUAAAAAUACAAAAAAAAAAAUUAGCUGGGCGUGGUGGCGGGUGCUUGUAAUCCCAGCUACUUGGGAGGCUGAGGCACGAGAAUUGCUUGAACCCAGGAAGCCAAGGUUGCAGUGAGCUGAGAUCGUGCCACUACACUGCAGCCUGGGUGACAAAGUGAGGCUCUCUCAAAAAUAUAAUAAAAAUUAAAAAAUAGGCCAGGCGCAGAGGCCCACGCCUGUAAUCCUAGCACUUUGGGAGGCCGAGGCGGGUGGAUCACCUGAGGUCAGGAGUUUGAGACCAGCCUGACCAACAUGUAGAAACGCUAUCUCUACUGAAAAUACAAAAUUAGCCAGGCUGGUGCACAUCCCUGUAAUUCCAGCUACUCGGGAGGCUGAGCAAAGAGAAUCGCUUGAACCCAGGAGGUAGAGGUGGAGGUGAGCCAAGAUCAUGCGAUUGUACUCCAGCCUGGGCAACAAGAGUGAAACUCCAUCUAAAAAAAUACAUAAAAAUAAAGUAAAUGAAAAAGAAUUAGCUGGGCGUGGCGGGGCAUGCCUGUGGUCCCAGCUACUCAGGAGGCUGAGGUGGGAGGAUCACUUGGGCCUGGGAGGUCAAGGCUGCAUGCAGUGAACCAUGAUUGUGCCACUGCACUCCAGCCUGAACAACAAAGCGAGAUCAUGUCUCAAAACAAAAAAAGAGGCUGGGCAUCAUGGCUCACGCCUGUAAUCCCAGCACUUUGGGAGGCCGAGGCGGGCAGAUCAUUUGAGGUCGGGAGUUUGAGACUAGCCUGGCCAACAUGGUGGUGAAACCGUGUCUCUAUUAAAAAUACAAAAAUUAGAGCCGGGCAUGGUGGCUCACACCUGUAAUCCCAGCACUUUGGGAGGCCAAGGUGGGCGGAUCACAAGGUCAGGAGUUCGACACCAGCCUGGCCAAUAUGGUGAAACCCCAUCUCUACUAAAAAUAUAAAAAAUUAGCCGAGUGUGGUGGUGUGCACCUGUAGUCCAAGCUAAUUGGAAGGCUGAGGAAGGAGAAUCACUUGAACCCAGGAGGCAGAGUUUACAGUGAGCCAAGAUCAUGCCACUGCACUCCAGCCUGGAUGACAGAGUGAGACUCUAUCCCAAAAAAACAAAAAACAGGCUGGGCGCAGUGGCUCACACCUGUAAUCCCAGCACUUUGGGAGGCCGAGGCGGGCAGAUCACGAGGUCAGGAGAUCGAGACCAUCCUGGUAACACGGUGAAACCCCCGUCUCUACUAAAAAUAGAAAAAAUUAGCCGGGCGUGUUGGCAGGCACCUGUAGUCCCAGCUACUCGUAGUCCUAGCUACUCAGGAGGCUGAGGCAAGAGAAUGGCGUGAACCCAGGAGGCAGAGCUUGCAGUGAGCCGAGAUUGCGCCACUGCACUCUAGACUGGGCGACACAGCCAGACUCUGUCUCAAAAAACAAACAAACAAACAAACAAAAAUUAGCAGGGCUUGAUGGUAGGUGCCUAUAAUCCUAGCUACUCAGGAGGCUGAGGCAAGACAAUUGCUUCAACCCAGGGGGUGGAGCUUAGUGAGCUGAGAUCGGGCCACUGCACUCCAGCCUGGGCGACAGGGAGAGACUUCGUCUCAAAAAAUAAAAAGAGCUGGGGGCAUGUUGGCCCAUGCCUAUAAUCCCAGCACUUUGGGAGAGUGAGGCAGGCAGAUCACGAGGCUGGGUGAUCGAGACCACCCUGGCUAACACAGUGAAACCCGGUCUCUACUAAAAAUUCAAAAAAAAUUAGCCAGGUAUGGUGGCCUGCACCUGCAGUCCCAGCUACUCGGGAGGCUGAGACAGGAGCGACAGGAGAAUUACUUGAACCCAGGAGGUGGCGGUUGUAGUGAGCCAAGUUCGCACCACUGCACUUCAGCCUGGGUGACAGAGCAAGACUCCAUCUCAAAAAAAAAAAGAAAAGAAAAGAAAAGAAAAGAAAAAAUAUCUUAUUGUCUACACCACUUUACUUUUGUGUUAUUCAAACAGAAACUACCAUUUUCAAACUCUAGGCAGGAAAUCCUAAGUCACACAGAAAUAGAAAGGAAAGGCCAUUUUCAGGAAGAUUUUUUUGUUUUGUUUUGUUUUUAUUUGUUUGUUUUGAGACACAGUCUAGCUCUGUCGCCCAGGCUGGAGUGCAAUGGCAUGAACUCGGCUCACUACAACCUCUGCCUCCCGGGUUCAAGCGAUUCUCCUGCCUCAGCCUCCCGAGUAGCUGGGAUUACAAGCGCACACCACCACGCCCAGCUAAUUUUUGCAUUUUUAGUAGAGAUGGGGUUUCACUGUGUUGGCCAGGCUGGUCUUGAACUCCUGACCUCGUGAUCCGCCCGCCUCAGCCUCCCAAAGUGCUGGGAUUACAAGUGUGAGCCACCACGCCCAGCAGGAAAUUUAAUCCUGCAUGCUUUUCUGCCACAUUUGGAUUUUUUUCUGCUGAAAUGUCAUAUUGGCCAAAUAUAGGAGCAGCAGAAGCAGGCAGAGCCCUCUGCUCCUGUUGUCACCUACAUGGAGUCAAUCUGAGCAUAGUGGGUACUUAAUAAUUUGAUCUGAGACUAAUUCUCAAUUUUUGCAAGUUUGCUUAAUUGGGCCUGCAAUGGCACAUGCUUCCUAUGCACCUGCUAAUGGCUACCAGCCAUGGGCCAGGACGAUGGGGCCAACAUCCAACGCUACCCACAAUGACCCAAGCAAUUCCAGGCAGUUAGGGGACCUUCUUUACCUAAGUGUUGCCAUCGUAUGUGAUUUCAGUGGAGAAGUUUCCUUUUUUUUUUUUUUUUUUUUUUGAGACAGGGAUUAGCUCUGUCAUCCAGGCUUGAGUGCAAUGGUGUGAUCUCAGCUGACUGUAACCCUCUCCUCCCAGUGAUCCGCCCACCUCAGCCUCCCAAGCAGAUACAUGCGCACAGGGACAGGGAUCACAGUUGCACACCACCAUGCCUUGCUAAUUUUUGUAUUUUUUUGUAGAGACGUGGUCUCACCCUGUUGUCCAGGCUGGUCUCAAACUCCUGGGUCAAAGUGAUCUAUCUGCCUCGGCCUCCCAAAGUGCUGGGAUUACAGGUGUGAGCCACUGUGCCUGGCCCAGAAUUUUCAUUCUCCCACUGGAUGAAGCCAUUUUUUUUUUUUUUUUUUUUUGAGACGGAGUCUCGCUCUGUUGCCCAGGGUGGAGUGCAGUGGCGCGAUCUCGGCUCACUGCAAGCUCCGCCUACCGGGCUCACGCCAUUCUCCUGCCUCAGCCUCUGGAGUAGCUGGGACUACAGGCGCCCACCACCACGUCCGGAGAGUUGUUUUUUUUUUUUGUAUUUUUAGUGGAGAUGGGGUUUCACCGUGUUAGCCAGGAUGGUCUCGAUCUCCUGACCUUGUGAUCCACCCGCCUCGGCCUCCCAAAGUGCUGGGCUUACAGGCAUGAGCCACCGCUCCCGGCCGAAGCCAAUUUUUAUUGCAGUUAGUUAAUAGCUUGUGAUGUCGCCUUGCAGGCAUUGGGAAAAGCAUCAUUCUAAGUUCAUCAGAAGACACUGGAACCAAGAAACCACAGGAGCCUUCAGGGGAUCUACUCUUGGUCACUAGCCUUCUGCAGGCUUGAAAGAGGUUAGAACUGAGGCUCUCUGUGAGUUGGUCUCACUCUUCUUUGAUCAGGGUUCUUGUUUCUUUCCAUGUACAUGUGACUAAUCUCUAUCCUCAGAGGGUCAACACAGGACAAAUCUUGAUGCAGCAAUAAGCAAUUUAUAGUCUCCUGGUGUCCUGAAAAUGACUCAAGAAAUCCCGUUACUAUGAUUUCUAAUGAUCUUGACAUGCGAAUUUAUUUUUCAGUUAUGUAACCCUUUUUAAAAACUUCCUGAAUAUUUGUGUAUUCGUUAGCUUCUGCUGUGUAACAAACCACUCACCCCCAACAUAGUGGCUGAAAACAACAGAUGUUAUUUCUUUCUUAAGAUUCUGAGAGUUGGCUGGGCACGGUAGCUCACGCCUGUAAUCCCAGCACUUUGGGAGGCCGAGGCAGGCAGAUCACCUGAGGUCAGGAGUUCAAGACCAACCUGACCAACAUGGAGAAACCCCAUCUCUACUAAAAAUACAAAAACAUUCAUUCUGUCACCCAGGCUUAAGUGCAGUGACAAAUCCCAUCUCUACUAAAAAUACAAAAAAGCCAGGCAUGGUGGUGAACACCUGUAAUCUCAGCUACUCAGGAGGCUGAGGUGGGAGAAUCGCUUGAACCUGGGAGGUGGAGGUUGUGGUGAGCCGAGAUCGCACCAUUGCACUCCAGCUUGGGCAACAAGAGCAAAUCUCCAUCUCAAAAAAAUAAAAAUUUUCUGAGAGUUGGCUGGACACUUCUCUUCUGAGCUAGUUCAACUGGGGUUGGAUGGUCUAGGAUGUUCUCACUGACAUGUCUGGCAACUGGCUGUUGGUCACCUGUGGAUGAUAGGGGCAGCAUAGCCACAGGUCUGUAGUCAUCUAGCAGGCUAGCCUGGACAUAUUCACAUGGCCGUACAUACUAGGUUCCCAAGAACAGCAAGAGAAGGCAGGCCCCACUGCACAGGCACUUUUUUUUUUUGGAGACGGAGUUUCGCUCUUGUCACCCAGACUGGAGUACAAUGAUGCGACCUCGGCUCACUGCAACCUCCGCCUCCCAGGUUCAAGCAAUUCUUCUGCCUCAGCCUCUUCAGUAGCUGGGAUUACAGGAAUCUGCCACCAUGCCCAGCUAAUUUUUGUAUUUUUAGUAGGGACAGGGUUUCGGCAUGUUAGCCAGGCUGGUCUCGAACUCCUGACCUCAGGUGAUCCUCUCACCUCAGCCUCCGAAAGUGCUGGUAUUAUAGGUAUAAGCGAUUGCACCCAGCCUUUUUUCUGAAACAGGAUCUUGCUCUGGCACCCAGGCUAGAGUACAAUGGCAUGAUCACAGUCACUGCAGCCUUCACCCCCGGGCUCAAGCAAUCCUCCCACCUCAGCCUCCCCAGUAGCUGAGACCACAGGCACGCACUACCAGGCCUGGCUAAUUUUUGUAUUUGUUGUAGAGCCAGGGUCUCCCUGUGUUACCCAGGCUGGUCUUGAACUCUGCACAGGCACUUUUCAGGUCUUUUCUUGUGUCACAUUUUCUAAUGUCACAUUAGCCAAAGCAAGACAUGUGGCCAAACACAAAAUUUGAGGGGUAGGGAAAUAUACAGCCAAAUAACUUUGCAAAGGAUGGGCAUGUAGGGAGGAACCAAUUGGUGGCUUUUUUGUGUAAUCAUCACAAUUGGAGGCGAGAUAUUUGAAUAUCAAUACAAAAACUUUUAUUCUUUCUUUAUUUACUUUUUGAGACGGAGUCUCGCUCUGUCGCCCAGGCUGGAGUGCAGUGUCGUGAUCUUGGCUCACUGCAAGCUCCGCCUCCCGGGUUCAUGCCAUUCUCCUGCCUCAGCCUCCCAAGUAGCUGAGACUACAGGCGCCCGCCACCACGCCCAGCUAAUUUUUUUGUAUUUUUAGUAGAGAUGGGGUUUCACCGUGUUAGCCAGGAUGGUCUGGAUCUCCUGACCUCAUGAUCCGCCCACCUCGCCUCCCAAAGGCUGGGAUUACAGGCGUAAGCCACCACGCCUGGCCGAAAACUUGUUCUUUUAACAAGAUGCCUUCCGGAAUGCAGAACAAAGCUGAGAAGCCUUCUUUUAACAACCUGAUGAUUUCCAAACUCUAGAUUCUUGGUCAUCUCACCCUGGACUAUUAGAACCAUCCUGAUGAAAAUAGCACCAGGUAUAGUUUCUGCACAGCUGCUUGUCCAGAAAUGUGUGACCUUGGGAAGGUCAUCCUCAUUGUUCUUCAUCGAAAACAAGGGGUUAUACUAGAUCUUCUCAAAUUGCAAGGAACCUUUCAGAGGUCAUGUUUCAGGAAAAUGAAAGAACAGGCCAUAUGUGGAAUGGCCCAAUCGCUGCCUGUAGAGAUAAGACAGCCAGAGAGGCUGAAAUUUUCAGCUUUCAUCCAGAUUUUGGCAUGGGCUGUGAGUCUAUGAUUUUUCAACUUUUCCUUCUCGUAGGCUUGUUUAAACCCUUUGAUCUCAUUUUAUUGUGCAAUAUUAUUACACCACUUUACAAAUAGACCAUUUAUUCCAGGCUGACCGUAAAAGUCAUUCCCGGCUGGGUGCAGUGGCUCAAGCCUGUAAUCCCAAUACUUUGGGAGUUCGAGGCAGGCAGAUCACCUAAAGUCAGGAGUUCGACACCAGACUGACCAACAUGUAGAAACCCCGCGUCUACUAAAAAUAGGAAAAUUAGGACCUGGCACAGUGGCUCACACCAGUAAUCCCAGCACUUUCGGAGGCCAAGACGGGCGGAUCACCUGAGGUCAGGAGUUCAUCACCAGCCUGGCCAACAUGGUGAAACCCCGUCUCUACUAAAAAUACAAAAAUUAGCCAGGAGUGGUGGCACAUGCCUGUAAUCACACCUACUCGGGAGCAUGAGGCAGGAGAUCUGCUGGAACCCAGGAGGCGGAGGUUGUAGUGAGCCGAGAUCGUGCCACUGCACUCCAGCCUGGGAGACAGAGUGAGACUCCGUUAAAAAAAAAAAAAAUAGGCCGGGCGUGGUGGCUCACGCCUGUAAUCCCAGCACUUUGGGAGGCCGAGGCAGGCAGAUCAUGAGGUCAGGAGAUUGAGACCAUCUGGCUAACAUUAGUGAAACCCCAUCUCUACUAAAACUACAAAAAAAUUAGCCGGCUGUGGUGGCGGGCACCUGUAGUCCCAGCUACUCGGGAGGCUGAGGCAAGAGAAUGGCGGGAACCCUGGAGGCAGAGCUUGCAGUGAGCCGAGAUCAUGCCACUGCACUCCAGCCUGGGAGUGCAGACAGAGCGAGACUCCAUCUCAAAAAUAAUAAUAAUAACAAUAAUAAUAAAAGUACAAAAAUUAGCCAGCGUGGUGGCAGGCGCCUGUAAUCUGAGCUACUAUGGAGGCUAAGGCAGGAGAAUUGCUUGAACUCAGGAGGCCAAGAUUGCAGUGAGUCAAGACGGCACCACCGCACUCCAGCCUGAGCAACAGAGCGAGACUCCAUCACAAAAAAAAAAAAAAAAGUUAUUUCUGUCCCCUAUGGCUUGAAGGGCACUCAUACUCAUAGUUAGCAGAAUCUUCAAUAAUACUAGAGCUUAAAUGGGAGAGAGUCAUACAGUAGAUGCUUGAAAAUGUUCAAAUAAAUGAAGGCCAGGAGGCUGGAUGCAGUGACUCACACCUGUAAUCCUAGCACUUUGGGAGGCCAAAGUGGGAGGAUCUCUUGAGCCCAAGAGUUUGAGACCAGCCCUGGCAAUAUAGUGAGACCAAGUCUCUAUAAAAAAAAAAAAAAAAAUUUUUUUUUUUUUUGAGACAGAGGCUUGCUCUGUUGCUCAGGCUGGAGUGCAGUAUCAUGAUCUCCGCUCCUGCAACCUCCGCCUCCCGGGCUCAAGCGAUUAUCUUGCCUCAGCCUCCUGAGUAGCUGGGAUUACAGGCACCUGCCACCACGCCCAGCUAAUUUUUGCAUUUUUUUAGUAGAGUCAGGGUUUCACAAUGUUGGCCAGGCUGGUCUUGAACUCCUGACCUCACGUGAUCCUCCUGCCUCAGCCUCCGAAAGUGCUGGGAUUACAGUCGUGAGCCACCGCACCUGGCCUCAAAAAUUUUUUUAAAUUAGCCGGGCAUGGUGGCACGCAUCUGUAGUCGCAGCUACUUCAGAGGUUGAAGUGGGAGGAUUCCUUGAGCCUGGGAGGUUGAGGUUGCAGUGAGCCAUGAUCGCAGCACUGCACUCCAGCCUGAGCAACAGAGCAACACCCGGACUCAAAGAAAAAAAAAGACAAGAAAAGAAAGAAGAAAGGCAACUGAAUAAAGAGAAUCUACUUACAGUAUUUCCCUAAGCAUGCCCAAUUGGACUUUUUUUUUUUUUUUUUGAGAUGGAGUCUUACUUUGUCACCCAGGCUAGAGUGCAGUGGUGCAAUCUUGGCUCACUGCAACCUCUGCCUCUGGGUUCAGGUGAUUCUCCUGCCUCAGCCUCCCAAGUAGCUGGGACUAUAGGCUCACGCCACCAUGCCCGGCUAAUUUUUGUAUUUUUAGUAGACACAGGGUUUCACCAUGUUGGUCAGGCUGGUCUCGAACUCCUGACUUCGUGAUUCACCUGCCUCAGCCUCCUAAAGUGCUGGGAUUACAGGCGUGAACCACUGUGUCUGGCCCAACUGGAUUGCAUCCUCCACCUCCCGAGUUCAAGCAGUUCUCUGCCUCAGCCUCCCGAGUAGCUGGGAUUACAGGCGCCCACCACCACACCCAGCUAUUUUUUUUUUUAUUUUUAUUUUUAGUAGAGACAGGGUUUCACCAUCAUGGCCAGGCUGAUCUUGAACUCCCGAUCUCGUGAUCCACCUGCCUUGGCCUCCCAAAGUGCUGGGAUUACAGGCGUGAGCCACCACGCCCAGCCUCCAUAGACUAUUUUUUAAACAAUUUUACUCAGGUAUAAGUCACACCCUAUACAAUUCACCCAUUUAAAGUAUAUAGUUCAGUGAGUCUUUUAGUAUAUUCACACAGCUUUGCAACCAUCACCAUAGUAUAAUUUUAGAACAUUUUUGCCGGUCAUGGUAGCUCACACCUGUAAUCUCAGUGCUUUGAGAGGCUAAGGUAGGAGGAUUGCUUGAGGCCAGGAGUUCAAGAUCAGCCUGGGCAAUGUAGCGAGACCCUGUCUCCACAAAAAAUAAUCAGAAAAAUUAGCCAGGCAUUGGGGUGCAUGCCUGUAGUCCCAGCUGCUAAGAAAGCUGAGGCAGGAGGAUCACUUGAGGCCAGAAGUUGGAGGGUAGAGUGAGUUAGGAUGGUGCCACUGCACGGCAGCCUGGGUGACAGAACAAAACUCUUUUUUUUUUUUUUUUGAGAUGGAGUUUCGCUUUUGUUGCCCAAGCUGGAGUGCAAUGGUGUGAUCUUGGAUCACUGCAACCUCUGCCUCCUGUGUUCAAGCAAUUCUCCUGCCUCAGCCUCCCGAGUAGCUGGGAUUACAGGCACGCACCACCAUGUCCAGCUAAUUUUUUGUAUUUUUAGUAGAAACUGGGUUUCACCAUGUUAGCCUAGCUGGUCUCGAACUUCUGACCUCAGGUGAUCAGCCCCACCUGGCCUCCCAAAGUGCUGUGAUUACAGGCGUGAGCAACCGCACCAAGCCUUUUUAUUUUUUUUUUUUUUGUGGGUACCUAGAAGGUGUAUAUAUUUACGGGGUACAUGAGAUGUUUUGUUUUGCUUUGAGAUGGAGUCUUGCUGUGUUGCCCAGGCUGGAGUGCAGUGGCGCAAUCUUACCUCACUGCAACCUCCACCUCCUGGGUUCAAGCAAUUCUCCUGCCUCAGCCUCCCGAGUAGCUGGGAUUACAGGUGUGCACCACCACGUCCGGCUAAUUUUUGUAUUUUUAGUAGAGGCAGGGUUUCACCAUGUUGGCCAGGCUAGUCUCAAACUCCUGACCUCAAAUGAUCCACCCACCUUGGCCUCCCAAAGUGCUGGGAUUACAGGCGUGGGCCACCGAGCCUGGACACGUGAAAUGUUUUGAUACAGACAUGUCAUAUGUAAUAAUAACAUCAUGGAGGCAAGGAGCUGUUUUGUUUUAUUUUGUUUUGUUUGAGACAGGAUCUCUCUCUGUCACCCAGGCUGGAUUUCAGUGGUGCGAUCUUGGCUCACUGCAGCCUCCACCUCCCAGAUUCAAGGGAUCCUUCUACCUCAGCCUUCCAAGUAUCUGGGACUACAGCCAGGUGCCACCACUCCCAGUUAAUUAAUUAAUUAAUUAAUUAAUUUGAGACACAGUCUUGCACUGUCACCCAGGCUGUAGUUCAGUGGCGUGAUCUUGGCUCACUGCAGACUCUGCCUCCCUUGUUCAAGUGAUUUUGGUGCCUCAGCCUCCCGAGUAGCUGGGAGUGCAAUGGCGUGAUCUUGGAUCACUGCAACCUCUGCCUCCUGUGUGCAAGCAAUUCUCCUGCCUCACACAAGCAUGUGCCACCACACCCAGCGAAUUUUUUUUUUUUUUUUUUUUUUUGGUAUUUUUAGUAGAGGCGGGGUUUUGCUAUGUUGGCCAGGCUGGUCUCAAACUCCUGAGAUCAAGUGAUCCACCCGCCUGGGCCUCCCAAAGUGCUGGGAUUACAAGCGUGAGCCACCAUGCCCAGCCUUCCCAUUGAGAUUUUUUUUUUUUAAUUUUAAAUUUAAAUUUUUUUUUUAGAGAUGGGGACCUGCCAUGUUUCCCAGGCUGGACUUGAACUUCUGGCCUCAAGCAAUCCUCCAUCUCAGCCUCCCAACGUGUCGGGAUUACAGGCUUGAACCACCACACCCAGCCCCCACUAAGAUUUCUAAUGGACUCCCUGAAUUUAGGACAUAGUCAGAGCUCCAGUCUCCUCUUCCCAGUUUCCCCAUCUCAGGACACUCUACCUCCAGUCUUCCAGUUGCUCAAUAAAACAACAACCUAGACCUAGACUUGUCCUUGGCUCCUCUUUUUCUCAUUCCCUCUCUUCAAUGCAUCAGCAAAUAUGAUUCGCUUGGCAUUCUGCAAUUUCUCCCACUUCUGUCACUAACACCCUUGUCCAACCACCAUCAUCCUCCCCACUGAGGGUUGCUGGAGCCUUCUAACAUGUUUCCCUGUUUCCAGUCUUAGCCCCAUCAAGUCCAUUUUCCAAACAGCAGUCAGAGCAAUCCUUUUAAAGUGCCAGUCAUAGGACGUGCCUCCACUGCUAAGAACCUCUGAAUGCCUCCCAUGUCAGAGUAAAUGCCACCUGUCUUUUUUUUUUUUUUUUUUUUUUUUUUUUAGAUAGAGUCUUACUCCGUUGCCCAGGCUAGAGUGCAAUGGCAUGAUCUUGGCUCUACUAACCCCUCCUGGAUUCAAGUGAUUCUCUUGCCUCAGCCUCCCGAGUAGCUGGGAUUACAGGCGUGUGCCACCACACCUGGCUAAUUUUUAUAUUUUUAGUAGAGACGGGGAUUUACCAUAUUGGCCAGGCUGGUCUUGAACUCCUGACCUCCGGUGAUGCGCUCGCCUCAGCUCCCAAAAUGCUGGGAUUAUACCUGUGAGCCACCACACCCGGCCAAUGCCACCUGUCUUUUUUUUUUUUUUUUUUGAGACUGAGUCUUGCUUUGUGGCCCAGGCUGGAGUGCGGUGGUGCAAUCUCAGCUCACUGCAACCUCCCCAUCCCAGGUUCAAGCGAUUCUCCUGCCUCAACCUCCUGAGUAGCUGAGACUACAGGCGUGUGCCACCACACCUGGCUAAUUUGUUGUAUUUUUAGUAGAGAUGGGGUUUCACCGUAUUAGCUCAGGAUGGUCUUGAACUCCUGAGCCCAAGUGAUCUGCCCGCCUCAGCCUCCCAAGGUGCUGGGAUUACAGGCGUAAGCCACCAUGCCCGGCCAAUGCCACCUGUCUUAACGUGACUUAGAAGGUCCUAGAUAUCCAAUCCUUCACUACUUUCUCAGCUUUCACCUCCUUCCACUCUGCAACUUGUGCAGAGUAGGCCCUUUGCACUUGCCACUCCCUCUGCCCAGAAUGCCCUUUCCCCAGGUAUUCACAUGGCUCAGUCCUUCAUUCAGGUCCUUGGCCUUAUUUUAUUUUAUUGUUGAGACAGGGUCUCCCUCUGUCGCCAGGCUGGAGUGCAGUGGUGCGAUCUCGACUCACUGCAACCUCCACCUCCCGGGUUCAAACAACUCUUGUGCUUCAGCCUCCCGAGUAGCAGGGACUACAGGCGCAUGCCACCAUGCCCAGCUAUUUUUUUUUUUUUCAGACAGAGUCUCACUCUGUCGCACAGGCUGGAGUGCAGUGGCACGAUCUCGGCUCACUGCAAGCUCCGUCUCCCAGGUUCACGCCAUUCUCCUGCCUCAGCCUCCCAGCCUCCUGGGACUACAGGCGCCCACCAUCAUGCCCGGCUAAUUUUUGUAUUUUUAGUAGAGAUGGGGUUUCACUGUGUUAGCCAGGAUGGUUUCGAUCUCCUGACCUCAUGAUCUGCCCACCUUGGCCUCCCAGACUGCUGGGAUUACAGGCGUGAGCCACUGCGCCUGGCCACCCAGCUAAUUUUUGUAUUUUUAACACAUACGGGUUUUCACCAUGUUCGCCAGGCUAGUCUUGAACUCCUGACCUCAAGUGAUCCACCCUGCUUUGGCCUCCCAAAGUGCUGGGAUUACAGGCAUGAGUCACCUUGGCCUUAUUUUAUUGUAUUUUUUUGAGAUGGAGUCUUGCUCUGUCACCCAGGCUGGAGUGCAGUGGCGUGAUCUCGGCUCACUGCAACCUCCACCUCUUGGGUUCAAGUGAUUCUCGUGCCUCAGCCUUCUCAGUAGCUGUGACUACAGUCACCCGCCACCACGCCCAGCUAAUUUUUUAUAUUUUUAGUAGAGACAGGGUUUCACCAUGUUGGCCAGGAUUGUCUUGAACUCCUGACUUCAAGUGAUCUGCCCGCCUCGGCCUCCCAAAGUGCUGACAUUACAGGUGUGAUCCACCGCGCCCAGGCUCUUUUCUUUUCUUUUUUUUUUUUGAGAGAGGGUCUCCUGCUGUCAUCCAGGCUGUACUGCAGUGGCACAAUCAUGGCUUUCUGCAGACUCAACCUCCCUGGGCUCAGGUGAUCCUCCCACCUCAGCCUCCCAAGUAUCCAGGACUAUACCUGCACACCACCAUGCCCGGCUAAUUUUUUUGUUUUUUGUAGAGAUGGGGUUUCACCAUGUGGCCCAGGCUGGUCUCAAACUCCUGAGCUCAAGCGAUCCAGCUGCCUUGGCCUCCCAAAGGGGUGGGAUUACAGGAGUAUUUUUUUGUUUUGAGAUGGCGUCUCUGUCAGCCAGGCUGGAGUACAGUGGCAGAAUCUUGGCUCCCUGCAGCCUCUGUUUCCCAGGGUCAAGUGAUCCUCCCACCACACAUCAGAAUUCUCUCUCUGACAUCUAUCUAAUCAUACUGCCUUAUGAGUCUCUCAUUUCCCUGUCCCAUAUGGAAUGAAGUUCAAAUUUCGUAGUGCAGUCGGCACAGUCUUAAUAACCUAUUUUCUUUUUUUUUUUUUUUUUUGAGACGGAGUCUCGCUCUGUCACCUAGGCUGGAGUGCAGUGGCACGAUCUCGGCUCACUGCAAACUCCGCCACCCGGGUUCAUGCCAUUCUCCUGCCUCAGCCUCCCGAGUAGCUGGGACUACAGGCGCCCGCCACCAUGCCCGGCUAAUUUUUGUAUUUUUAGUAGAGACUGGGUUUCACCGUGUUAGCCAGGAUCGUCUCGAUCUCCUGACUUUGUGAUCCUGCCUCAGCCUCCCAAAGUGCUGGGAUUACAGCACCCGGCCUUAAUAACCUAUUUUCUUCCCAUACCUACCCUGCUACCUGUUUAGUCUCCUAUGCUGUUAUAACACCUUGCCACAAACUUAGUGGAUUAAAAGCACACAAAUGUAUUAUCUUACAGUAAUUGAGGCCAAAAGUCCAAACUGAGUAUGUGUGGUUGUUUUUUUAGAGACGGGGUCUUGCUCUGUCACCCAGGCUGGAGUACAGUGGCAUGAUUAUAGCUUACUGCAGCCUCAAACUCCUGCACUCAAGCGCUCCUACCCUCCUCAGCCUCCAGAGUAGCUGGGACUAUAAGUGCGUGCCACCUCUAGCUAAUUGUUUGAACAUUUUUAGUAGAGAUGAGAUCUCGCUCUGUCGCCCAGGCUGGAGUGCAGUGGUGUGAUCACGGCUCACUGCAGCCUUGAUUUCCCAGGCUCACGUAAUCUUCCCUCUUCAGCCUCCCCAGUAGCUGGGACAACAGGUGCGGGCUACUGCACCCAGCUAAUUUUUGUGUUUUUUGUAGAGACAGGGUUUCGCUAUGAUGCCUAGGCUGGCCUUGAACUCCUGGACUCAAGCAAUUUGCCCUCCUCGGCCUCUCAGAGUGCUGGGAUUACAGGUAUGAGCCACUGCACCCGGGUAAUUUUUAAAAAAUUUUUAGUAGAGACAAGGUCUUGCUGUGUCAUCCAGGCUGAUCUCGAACUCCUGGGCUCAAACCAUCUUCCCACCUGGGAUUUCACAGGUGUCAGUCACCCUGCCCGGCCCGAAAUGAGUUUUAGGAAGUUAAAUUCAAGGUGUUGGCCUGGCUGGUGUCUUCUCGGGGGUGCAGGGGAGAAGCUGAUCCUUGCCUUCCCCAGCUUCUAGAGGCUGCCUGCAAUCCUUGGCCCGCGAUCCACAUCACGUCACCUUUUCUCCCUCUACUUGCUUAGUCACACCACCUUCCACUGAACCUGUUCUCCCGCCUCCCUCUUAGGAGGAGGACAUGUGAUUGCAUUUAGGGCCCAUGUGGAUAAUGCAGGGUAACCUCCCCAUCCUAAGAUCAUUCGUUUCAUCACACCUGCAGAGUCUCUUCUGCUAUAUGAGGAUUAUUCACAGGCUCCAGGGUGAGGACAUGGAUAUCUUUGGGGGGCCAUUACUCUAUCCAACUACAUGACACCCACACUCUAGCCAGUGAGGAAUUCCUUCGCACUCUUAGGAUCCAUCAGGCAGUUCCCUCUGUGCCUUUGCUUCUGCUGAGUGACUCUAUGACUCUAUCCUAUGCCUUUCUACCCGCCAGUCUCUUUACUUCAAAGAUUGGCUCCAGGGCACUUAACUUUUGUAGCUUUCCUUCACCCUCACAGCCAGGAAGAAUUAAGUGCACCUGGCCGGGCACAGUGGCUCACGCCUGUAAUCCCAGCACUUUGGGAGGCCGAGGCAGGCGAAUCACCUGAGAUCAGAAGUUCAAGACCAGCCUGGCCAACAUGGCAAAACUCUGUCUCUAAUAAAAAUACAAAAAUUAGCCAGUGUGGUGGCAUGCACCUGUAAUCCCAGCUACUCAGGAGGCUGAGGCAGGAGAAUCACUUGAACCUGGGAGGUGGAGGUUGCAGUGAGCUGAGAUCAAGCCACUGCACUCCAGCCUGGGCAACAGAGUGAGACUCAGUCUCAAAAAAAAAAAAAAAGAAUGAAGUGCACCCUUUCUUGUGUUCCCACAGCAUGGCAUUUUAUGAUAGUGAAUCAUAGUAGCCAGUUUGCAUGUCUGAUCACUUGUUCAAAUGUGAAGUCAUUGGAAGGAGAGCACUAUCAUCCUAUAUCCUUGAUCAUCCUUUUUUGUUUUUUUAGUUGUUGUUGUUGUGUUGUUUUGAGACAGAGUCUCACUCUGUCGCCCAGGCUGGAGUACAAUGGUGCCAUCUUGGCUCACUGCAACCUCCACCUUCUGGGUUCAAGCGAUUCUCCUGCCUCAGCCUCCCGAGUUGCUUUUUUUUUUUUUUUUUUUGAGACAAAGUCUCGCUUAUGUCUCCCAGGCUGGAGUGCGAUGGUGCGAUCUCGGCUCACCUCUGCCUCCCGGGUUUGAGGGAUUCUCCUGCCUCAGCCUCCCGAGUAGCUGGGAUUACAGGCGCCUGCCACCACGCCCAGCUAAUUUUUGUAUUUUUAGUAGAGAUGGGGUUUCACCAUGUUGGCCAGGCUGGUCACGAACUCCUGACCUCAGGUGAUCCACCUACCUCGGCCUCCCAAAGUGCCGGGAUUACAGGCAUGAGCCACCGCACCCGGCGGUUUUUUUUUUUUGUUUUUUUUUUGUUUUUUUUUUGUUUUUUUUUUGAGACAGAGUCUUGCUCUGUUGCCCAGGCUAGAGUGAGUGCAGUGGUGCGAUCUCAGCUCACUGCAACCAGUGCCUCCCAGGUUCAAGCAAUUCUCCUGCCUCAGCCUCCUGAGUAGCUGGGAGUACAGUUGCCCACCAUCAUGCCUGGCUAAUUUUUUUGUAUUUUUGGUAGAGAUGGGGUUUCACCAUGUUGGCCAGGCCGGUCUCAAACUCCUGACCUCAAAUGAGCCACCGCGUCUGGCCUGAUCAUCCUUUUUGUUGUUGUUGUUGAUUAAAGACGGGGUCUCACUCUGUUGCCCAGGCUGGACUGUAGCAGUGUGAUCACAGUUCACUGUGGCCUCCAACUCCUGGACUCAAGCGAUCCUCCCACCUCAGCCUCCCAAGUAACUGGGACUUCAUUGUCCUUUUGGAUGCAUUUUGCAAGUGUGAAAGCACUGUCCAGUCCAGCUGAUGUAAUAGGUGCUAGCAUUGUUGAGGUGAAAAUGCCCAAUUGCUGCCUUCAAUUAUGCAACGUCUUCUUGGUUUUACUCUGCCUGGCCUUUGUUUCUUCAUCCAUUCCUUCGUUUAUUCCAGUAGCCCUUUGUUAAGGGGCUUCUCUGAGUGAGGCCUUGCAUAAAUGGAGGAAAGUUGUCCCCACUUUCAAAAUGCACACCAUCUAGCAGGGGGAGAAUCAUGAGCUCAGGGGCCAUGAGGGAACAGGAUGGGGGCCACUAACACUGCCUGCAGGAGAGCAGGGGUGGGAAGGCUCCAACACAGAGACACCAGCAGUGCUCACUGAGCUAUGCUAAGCACUACCUCAUUUAAUCCUGUCUAGGCGGGGCAGAUACUCUUAUUAUUGGCCUCAUUUUAUAGGCUGAAAUCAGAAAUGUUUAGAAAUGUCAAGUAACUCUCCCUAGAUCACAGAACCAGGCAGUAGCAGGGCUGGGAUUUGAACCCAAGAAGGCCAACUCCAGGACCAUGCAGAUAACCUCUGCACCACACUGUUCUGCCUUGACAGCACACCUGGUCCCUGGAGGUAGUGACACCAUGCUGCUCAUCUGUGACCCCCCCACCCCAGGGUACCUUGUACUUACUAGGCCCUAGAUGCAUAUUUAAGAAAAUAGUUUAUUUCCUGGCCAGGCGCGGUGGCUCACGCCUGUAAUCCCAGCGCUUUGGGAGGCUGAGGCGGACAGAUCACCUGAGAUCAGGAGUUCAAGAUCAGCCCGGCCAACAUGGUGAAACCUCUUCUCUACUAAAAAAUACAAAAAUUAGCCGGUGUGGUGGUGCAUACCUGUAGUCCCAGCUACUUGGGAGGCUGAGGUGGGAGAAUCGUGUAAACCUGGGAGGUGGAGGUUGCAGUGAGCCAAGAUCGUGCCACUGCACUCCAGCCUGGGUGACAGAGUGAGACUCCGUCUCACAAAAAAAAAAAAAAAAAAAAUUAUCCAGUCGUGGUGGCACACACCUGUAAUCCCAGCCACUCAGGAGGCUGAGACAUGAGAAUCACCUCAACCUUGGAGGCAGAGGUUGCAGUGAGCCAAGAUUGCCUCACUGUACUCCAGCCUGGGCAACAGAGCAAGACCCUGUCUCAAAAAAUAAAGCAUUAUUUCCUUAGUAUUAAUUAAUAUUGAUUUGAGAGCUCCUCUCCUGUUUCUGUGUGCCUAACACUCAUUGAACCCUGUGCUAAGAAUUUCACAGGCAUUAAGUCAUUUGAGCUUCAUAUCAGCCCUAUUGAGUGAGUAUUAUUACCCCCCGCUUUUUUUUUUUUUUUUUUGAGACUGGGUUUCACUCUGUCACCCAGGCACAAUCAUAGCUCACUGUAACCUUGAACUCCUGGGAUCCUCCCAGCUCAAUCUCCUGAGUAGCUGAAACUACAGGUAAGGGCCACCACCCCUGGCUUCUUCUUCUUAUUAUUUUUAUAGAGAUGGGGUCUCACUAUGUUGCUGGUCUAGAACUCCUGACCUCCAGUGAUCCUCCUGACUCGGACUCCCAAAGUGUUAGGAUUACAGGCGUGAACCACCACACCUGGCCAACCUACAUUUUACCGAGCGAGAAACUAAAGUACAACAAGAGUAAGGAAUUGGUUGCAGUUCACACAACUAGAAAAGGGAGAAAGAAGCUGGGAUUUGAACCUAAGUAGCACAAGCACUUAAUUACUUGUUUGUAAUGACUAUGCAAAACAGCUUGUUUAGAGGCUUAUUUCAUAGUAGAGAGAUGCUUUUGUAGAGAGGGAAUAUGGAAGGACAUAGAAAUUAGGAGGUAGGGCUGGGUGCAGUGGCUCAUGCCUAUAAUCCCAGCACUUUGGGAGGCCAAGGCGGGCAGAUCACUUGACCUCAGGAGUUCAAGACCAGCCUGACCAACAUGGUGAAACCUUGUCUCUACUAAAAAUACAAAAAUUAACCAGGUUUGGUGGCACAUGCCUGUAGUCCCAGCUACUUGAGAGGCUGAGGGAGGAAAAUCACUGGAACCUGGGAGGUGGAGGUUGUAGUGAGCCGAGAUUGCACCACUGCACUCCAGCCUAGGUGACAGAGCAAGAAUCCAUCUAAAAAAAAAAAAAAGAAAGAAAGAAAAAAGAAAUUAGGAGAUAGGAGAUCUGGGGUAUGACCCUAGCUCUGUAGUGUGACCAGGUAAACUCAACCUUUGCUCUGUCAUUUGGUCCACAAACACUGGGGAUACAGUGAAGAAAGAGGCAAAACCCUGGCUUCUGAGAUUUUAUAGUUUAGUGCAAGGAGGGAGGAAAAAUACAUGCAUAUAGAUGAACAGAACUGUUGCCGUGAAGGAAACAGUGUUGUGGCAAAGCGUAAUAGCAAAUGGCUGAACCAAGGAUGCUUCAGGGAACACUCACUUUAUUUAGCACGAGAAGGGAGAUUUGGGGAAAGCCUCUCUUAAGAGAAAACAUAUAAGUUGAGACCUGAAGUAAGAGAAGGCCUCAGUCAUUCAAAGGGUUCAGGAGGUCAUUCCUGCAAGAACAGUACAUGCAAAGGUCCUGAGGUUGGAAAGAGCUUAAAAAGUCAAAGCCAGCCGGGCGCGGUGGCUCAUGCCUGUAAUCCCAGCCCUUUGGGAGGCCAAGGUGGGUGGAUCAUGAGGUCAAGAGAUUGAGACCAUCCUGGCCAACAUGGUAAAACCCCAUCUCUACUAAAAAUACAAAAACUAGCUUGGUCUGGGAUUACAGGUGCCCACCACCACCCCCAGCUAAUUUUGUAUUUUUAGUAGGGAUGGGUUUUCUCCAUGUUGGCCAGGCUGGUCUCAAACUCCCGACCUCAGGUGAUAUGCCCACCUUGGCCUCCCAAAGUGCUGGGAUUACAGGCGUGAGCCACUGUGCCCGGCUGGAGAUAGGGUUUUUAACAGAAGUAACCAAGUUAAAAUAAGGUCAUUAGGAUGUAUCCUGACCCAAUAUGACUGGUGUCUUAAAAGAAGGAAUAGACACAUGCACACAGGGGAACGCCAUGUGAACAUCAAGGCAGAGAUCUUUGCUGGGUACUUUUCAUGAAUUUGGCUGGGAUAACUGGGCUUGCUUGGCUCGCAUCCAUGUGGUCUCUCAUCCACCAGCAGACUAACCUGGGCUUGUUUUCCUAGAGGUUGGGCAGGGUUUUGAGACAGAAUAGAAUUUUAAAAGGCCUCUUGAGGCUCAGAACUAUCACAGUAUUGCCGGGUGCAGUGGCUCACGCCUGUAAUCCCAGCACAUUGGGAGGCCGAGGCAGGCAGAUCACUUGAGGCCAGGGGUUCGAGACCAGCCUGGGCAACAUGGUGAAACCCUGUCUCUACUAAAAAUACAAAAAUUAGCUGGGUAUGGUAGCACAUGCCUGUAUUCCCAUGAGGCUGAGGCAGGAGAAUCGUUUGAACCUGGGAGGCAGAGGCUGCAGUAAACUGAGAUUGUGCCACUGCACUCCAGCCUGGGCGACAGAGCAGGACUCCAUCUCAAAAAAAAAAACAAAACAAAAAAAAACCGAAAACAAAAAACUGUCACAGUGUCACUUUUGCUGAAGCAAAAGUUGUGGUCUAAAGCAAGUCACAAUACUAGCCCAGAUUCAGUGGGGUGGAGAUGCUGCAGAGUCACAUUGUGGGGGGAAUAGUGAGCCAUUUUUUGCACACAGUCUACCAUCGUGGCCUUCCCUGACUAUCCUACCUAACACAGCCCUCCCCUCCAUCCCAAUUACACUGUUUUACCUUUUUUCCUGGCAUUUACCAUUAUCUGAAAUUUUAUAUAUUAAUAAUUUUGUUUCUUUUCAGGAUGGCAGUGCCUGGACUCUUGGCCUUCAUUGCCAUAUCCCCAGAACCUAGGCAGUGUCUAGCACUUAUUAGGCCCUGAAGGAAUUUUUGAAAGAAUAAAGAAAUCAUGUAAAAAGAAUAUGCAUGCUGGGCACAGUGGCUCACACCUGUAAUCCCAGCACUUUGGGAGGCCAAUGAGGGCAGAUCAUUUGAGGUCAGGAGUUGGAGACCAACAUGCCCAACAUAGUGAAACCCGGUCUCUACUAAAAAUACAAAAGUUAGCUGUGUGUGGUGGCAUGUGCCUGUAAUCCCAGCUACUCAGGAGGCUGAGGCAGGAGAAUCACUUGAACCUGGGAGACAGAGGUUGCAAUGAGCUGAGAUUGUGCCACUGCACUCCAACCUGGGUGACAGAGCGAGACUCUAUCUCAAAAAAAAAAAAAAGAAUAUGCAUAGAAAAUACCAGAUGAUUAGCUGGGUGUGGUGGUGUGUGCCUGUAGUCCCAGCUACUUGGGAGGCUAAGGUGAAAUAAUUGCUUGAUCUUGGAAGGUUGAGGCUGCAGUAAGCUGUGAUCAUGCCACUGCACUCCAGCCUGAGUGACAGAGCAAGACCCUGUCUCAAAACAAACAAACAAAAAUACCAGAAGAAACAUACUCUAAAGUGUUAAUAACUUCCUCUGUUGAGAUAACCAUUUAAUUUUCUUUAUGUUUUUCUGUUUAAAAAAUAUAACAUUGUAUUUUUUAACAGGGGAGAUAGAAAUAUUCUACACAUCUUGAUUUGGGUAGUGAUUACAUGGGUAUAUACAAUUCUCAAAACUCUUUGAACUGAGC
Molecule: long non-coding RNA, 30226 nt
Filed under: Homo sapiens (human)
Lineage: Eukaryota; Metazoa; Chordata; Mammalia; Primates; Hominidae
Description: HSALNT0370487
Source: RNAcentral